Molecule: long non-coding RNA, 703 nt
Organism: Canis lupus familiaris (dog)
Lineage: Eukaryota; Metazoa; Chordata; Mammalia; Carnivora; Canidae
Exons: 3
Source: RefSeq, a predicted model, not a curated record
GCAGAACCGGAUUCCCUACUAAUCUAAAUUUCAGAACACAGGAACUUUAGAAUACAUUAGUUUCCAUAAAGUAUAAGAUUUUUGAGGACAGAAACCUUUUAUUUACAUCUAAAUAUCCUGAAUGAAAACCAGUGCUGGCAUAAAAAUGUUUACAGAAUAUCUGAAUUAAUGAAAAGACUGAAUGAACAUCAUUAGUGAAAAAGAUAUAGGCUAUAUACCCAGCAUGGGGCUUGAACUCAACCUAGAAAUCAAGAUCUGAGCUGGUAUCAGAGUCCAAUGCUUAACUGACUGAGCCACACAGUUGCCACCAGGUACCCAAUGUAAGACUUUUUAAUAUUUAAGAAGAAAAAUCUUAUCAAAUUUUUUGGUUACAGCAAAAUAAUGCAAAGCAGCCAGACCAAACUACUUAUCUAAAAUUUUAGUAUUUUGCUUAAGGAAAGUUCACAUGAGUAUGUGUAGCUGUCUUCCAUGAAACUGACUUCAAAAGAUUCACAAGAAAAAAAAGAUUAGAAUGCCUCAAUAGAAAAAAAAUAUUACCUUGCCUUCGUAGUUCAUUCUUAACAGCUUCUACACCUCCUGUUUUUUCAAUGAAGUCAUAUAUAACUUUUGAUGUUUCUCGGUCUUUAAGUUGUGCCUCUGAGAUUCCACACAAAUCAAAAAGAUUCUUCAAUUCUGGAUCCAAAUUAUUCAGCUACAACAGAUA